This 941-nucleotide long non-coding RNA is filed under the name Marmota monax (woodchuck). Lineage: Eukaryota; Metazoa; Chordata; Mammalia; Rodentia; Sciuridae. The record is from RNAcentral.
GGUUUUAAUUCUUGUACUAUAGGAGUCUUAUUAAGGAAGUUGGGGCCUAAUUUGACAUGAUGGAGAUUUGGGCCUACUUUUUCUUCCAUUAGGCACAGGAUCUCUUGUUUAAUUCCUAGGUUCUUGAUCCACUUUGAGUUGAGUUUUGUGCAUGAUGAGAAAUAGAGGUUUAAUUGCAUUUUGUUACAUGUGAUUCUCAGUAUUCUAAGCACCAUUUGUUUAAGUGGCUAUCUUUUCUCCAAUAUAUGUUUUUGGUGCCUUUGUCUAAUAUAAGAUAACUGUAGUUAUGUGAGUUAGUCUCUGUGUCUUCUAUUCUGUACCAUUGAUCUACAGGUAUAUGUGGGUGCUGAUAUCAUGUCAUUUUUGUUACUAUGGCUCUAUAGUAUAAUUUAAGGUCUGGAAUAGUAAUGCCACCAGCUUCACUCUUCUUGCUAGGGAUUGCUUUAGCUAUUCUGGGUUUUUGAUUUUUCUAGAUGAAUUUCAUGAUUGCUUUUUCUACUUUUAUGAGGCAUUUCAUUGGGAUUUUCAUUGAUAUUGCAUUGAAUCUGUAUAGUGCUUUUGGUAGUAUGGUCUUUUUGACAAUAUAAAUUCUGUCUAUCCAAGAUCAAGGUAGAUCUUUCCAUCUUCUAAGGUCUUCAUUAAUUUCUUUGUUUAGCGUUCUGUAGUUUUCAUUGUAGAGGUCUUUCACCUCUAAUUGAUUCCAAGUAUUUUUUUGUAUUUUAUUUUGAGUCUAUUGUAAAUGGCAUGGUUUUCCUAGUUUCUCUUUUGAGGAUUUGUCACUGAUAUAUGGAAAUGCCUUUGAUUUAUGGGUAUUGAUUUUAAAUCCUGCUACUUUGCUGAAUUCAUUUAUUAGCUCUAGAACAUUUCUGGUAAAAUGUUUUGGGUCUUCUAGGAUAGAAUCAUAUUGUUGGCAGAUAGUGAUAUUUUAGGUUCUUCUUUUU